RNAcentral lists this ribosomal RNA (384 nucleotides) under uncultured bacterium. RNAcentral describes it as "bacterial SSU rRNA". It matches the Rfam family "Bacterial small subunit ribosomal RNA", at positions 29 to 412 of the family's 1533-position model. The record is from RNAcentral.
AUUGAACGCUGGCGGCAUGCCUUACACAUGCAAGUCGAACGGCAGCAUGGGUGCUUGCACCUGAUGGCGAGUGGCGAACGGGUGAGUAAUGCAUCGGAACGUACCCGGAAGUGGGGGAUAACGUAGCGAAAGUUACGCUAAUACCGCAUAUUCUGUGAGCAGGAAAGCGGGGGAUCGCAAGACCUCGCGCUUCCGGAGCGGCCGAUGUCGGAUUAGCUAGUUGGCGGGGUAAAGGCCCACCAAGGCAACGAUCCGUAGCGGGUCUGAGAGGAUGAUCCGCCACACUGGGACUGAGACACGGCCCAGACUCCUACGGGAGGCAGCAGUGGGGAAUUUUGGACAAUGGGCGCAAGCCUGAUCCAGCCAUGCCGCGUGAGUGAAGAA